This 471-nucleotide long non-coding RNA is filed under the name Phaseolus vulgaris (common bean). RNAcentral describes it as "long non-coding RNA (PVUL_LNC001021)". The record is from RNAcentral. Lineage: Eukaryota; Viridiplantae; Streptophyta; Magnoliopsida; Fabales; Fabaceae.
UGAACUCAAGGGUUGGCAACUUAGCAUCUACUCUAUAUAUAGUGGAAGUUUGCUUUUUAGACAGGAGUUGACAUCAAACAGUUAAUUCACUAUUAAUUAGUGUAUAAACUUGUGCUACUAUUUUUGCAUAAAACAUGCAUUUGCAACAAAUUACGUGCAAUGAUCUGGGAACACUGCAUACUCAUCGCCAUCGAGAUACGACAAUCUUUGAUGUCUGAAGAUGAAGAGAUACCCCCACUUUGGUUCCGAUGAUCAAGCCCUAUAGAGUUCAACAUGUUCUGUUUGAUUGUUUUUAUAAAUGGAUCUGCUUUUCCUCCAGCAGACACUAGAUCCACUUCCAACGUUCAAUCCAACCACCUGCCCUAUUGGAGUUCGCAAUUUGAAAUUUUAUAUCUUGGACCUGAAAAGAUGUAGGAGACAUAGAAAAGGUAUCUCAUUUAUAGGCAGAUAUAAUAUUCAUGUGAUUCCCAA